GAUGAACGCUGGCGGCGUGCCUAACACAUGCAAGUCGAGCGGCAGCGAGGGGUGCUUGCACCCUGUCGGCGAGCGGCGGACGGCUGAGUAACGCGUGGGAACGUGCCCCAAAGUGAGGAAUAACUGCCCGAAAGGGUAGCUAAUACCGCAUAUAAUCUUCGGAUCAAAGGAUUUAUCCGCUUUGGGAGCGGCUCGCGUCGGAUUAGGUAGUUGGUGAGGUAAUGGCUCACCAAGCCGACGAUCCGUAGCUGGUCUGAGAGGAUGACCAGCCAGACUGGAACUGAGACACGGUCCAGACUCCUACGGGAGGCAGCAGUGAGGAAUCUUCCACAAUGGGCGAAAGCCUGAUGGAGCAACGCCGCGUGCAGGACGAAGGCCUUCGGGUUGUAAACUGCUUUUAUAAGUGAGGAAUAUGACGGUAACUUAUGAAUAAGGAUCGGCUAACUACGUG
RNAcentral lists this ribosomal RNA (451 nucleotides) under uncultured bacterium. Its description in RNAcentral is "partial 16S ribosomal RNA". It matches the Rfam family "Bacterial small subunit ribosomal RNA", at positions 28 to 507 of the family's 1533-position model. The record is from RNAcentral.